GACGAACGCUGGCGGCGUGUCUAAUACAUGCAAGUAGAACGCUGAAGGAGGAGCUUGCUUCUCUGGAUGAGUUGCGAACGGGUGAGUAACGCGUAGGUAACCUGCCUGGUAGCGGGGGAUAACUAUUGGAAACGAUAGCUAAUACCGCAUAAGAGUAGAUGUUGCAUGACAUUUGCUUAAAAGGUGCAAUUGCAUCACUACCAGAUGGACCUGCGUUGUAUUAGCUAGUUGGUGAGGUAACGGCUCACCAAGGCGAUGAUACAUAGCCGACCUGAGAGGGUGAUCGGCCACACUGGGACUGAGACACGGCCCAGACUCCUACGGGAGGCAGCAGUAGGGAAUCUUCGGCAAUGGACGGAAGUCUGACCGAGCAACGCCGCGUGAGUGAAGAAGGUUUUCGGAUCGUAAAGCUCUGUUGUAAGAGAAGAACGAGUGUGAGAGUGGAAAGUUCACACUGUGACGGUAUCUUACCAGAAAGGGACGGCUAACUACGUG
This 495-nucleotide ribosomal RNA is filed under the name uncultured bacterium. Its description in RNAcentral is "partial 16S ribosomal RNA". It matches the Rfam family "Bacterial small subunit ribosomal RNA", at positions 28 to 507 of the family's 1533-position model. The record is from RNAcentral.